CCUACGGGAGGCAGCAGUGGGGAAUAUUGCACAAUGGGGGAAACCCUGAUGCAGCGACGCCGCGUGAGUGCAGAAGUAUUUCGGUAUGUAAAGCUCUAUCAGCAGGGAAGAAAAUGACGGUACCUGAUUAAGAAGCCCCGGCUAACUACGUGCCAGCAGCCGCGGUAAUACGUAGGGGGCAAGCGUUAUCCGGAUUUACUGGGUGUAAAGGGAGCGUAGGCGGGUGCGCAAGUCUGAAGUGAAAUGCCGGGGGUGAACCCCGGAACUGCUUUGGAAACUGUGCAGCGCGAGUGCAGGAGAGGUAAGUGGAAUUCCUAGUGUAGCGGUGAAAUGCGUAGAUAUUAGGAAGAACCCCAGUGGCGAAGGCGGCUUACUGGACUGUAACUGACGUUGAGGCUCGAAAGCGUGGGGAGCAAACAGGAUUAGAUACCCGAGUAGUC
RNAcentral lists this ribosomal RNA (440 nucleotides) under uncultured bacterium. RNAcentral's name for it is "partial 16S ribosomal RNA". It matches the Rfam family "Bacterial small subunit ribosomal RNA", at positions 338 to 795 of the family's 1533-position model. The record is from RNAcentral.